CCCCUGCUGGCUAAGACAGUAAAGAAUCUGCCUGCCAUGCAGAAGACCCGAGUUUGAUCCCUGGGUUGGGAA
Molecule: transfer RNA, 72 nt
Filed under: Bos taurus (domestic cattle)
Lineage: Eukaryota; Metazoa; Chordata; Mammalia; Artiodactyla; Bovidae
Also listed under: 4 other names
Rfam family: tRNA
About the family: Transfer RNA (tRNA) molecules are approximately 80 nucleotides in length. Their secondary structure includes four short double-helical elements and three loops (D, anti-codon, and T loops).
Source: Rfam by way of RNAcentral